Molecule: long non-coding RNA, 327 nt
Filed under: Elaeis guineensis (African oil palm)
Lineage: Eukaryota; Viridiplantae; Streptophyta; Magnoliopsida; Arecales; Arecaceae
Description: long non-coding RNA (EGUI_LNC001652)
Source: RNAcentral
CUGCCCGGCAUCCAUUGCUUCGCAACUCCGCCGUCGCCGGCCCUAGUCCUAAGCCUUGAAAAGUGAAACCCUCAUUCUCCACGACUGUGCCGGCGCCCACUAGCCACUGCUCCGCGACUCCUCCGGCACCCACUGCUCCGUGACUCCGCCGGCCCCAGCCCCAUCCUGAAACCCUCUGGAUGUGACUCCGCCUGGCAUCGGGCAUCCAUUGCUCUGUGACUUUGCUUGAGGGUAGGUACCUUAUAUAAUGUUAUUAUAUAUAACUAGGAGAGAAAGAGAGAGGCAAGAGGUGAAGGAGGCGAGGGCGUGAUCUGGGAAGGUGAACGG